GACAGAGGAGGCUAGCGUUGUUCGGAAUCACUGGGCUUAAAGCGGGUGUAGGCGGCCCUGCAAGUACUUUGUGAAAUACUCCGGCUCACCCGGAGAAUUGCUGAGUAUACUGCAGGGCUUGAGGCAGGUAGGGGUCACUGGAACUCUAGGUGGAGCGGUGAAAUGCGUAGAUAUCUAGAGGAACGCCUAAGGCGAAAGCAGGUGACUGGGCCUGUCCUGACGCUGAGAUCCGAAAGCGUGGGGAGCAAACGGG
This 253-nucleotide ribosomal RNA is filed under the name uncultured bacterium. Its description in RNAcentral is "partial 16S ribosomal RNA". It matches the Rfam family "Bacterial small subunit ribosomal RNA", at positions 524 to 776 of the family's 1533-position model. The record is from RNAcentral.